GCGCUUGGAUGGCGCGGUGAAGAUGCGUAUAUUAGCCCUGUCGGUGGAUUUCCGUCGACUAUGGCGAUAAACGCCGCGUGAAAUAAGCGUUGCGGACCCGGGGGCAGUACCCGGCGCCUCCACCAUUUCGAACCGGCUGUGCUUGAUGCGAUUCGCUUCAGGCCAAGGCCGGCGCGAAGCCAAUAUGGGGGCGAACUAGGAUCGACGUGCGUGGUAAAGGCUCGGUUUUUGCUCGGUAUUGUACCACCGUUAUCGGGCUACAUUCUAAGUGCGAAUGAUAAUGAAGUAGCACUCGCUGCCUAGCAUUGCUAGGUAAGCGCGGCCCGGGGGGCGCCGGGCAACAGAAGCCCCCCACU
Molecule: transfer-messenger RNA, 356 nt
Filed under: Rhodospirillaceae bacterium
Lineage: Bacteria; Pseudomonadati; Pseudomonadota; Alphaproteobacteria; Rhodospirillales; Rhodospirillaceae
Rfam family: Alphaproteobacteria transfer-messenger RNA
About the family: Bacterial tmRNA, also known as 10Sa RNA or SsrA, is named for its dual tRNA and mRNA-like properties. Its role is to liberate the mRNA from a stalled ribosome. To accomplish this part of the tmRNA is used as a reading frame that ends in a translation stop signal.
Source: RNAcentral